CCUGCGGAAGGAUCAUUGUCGAAAUCUCGUGGAGCAGUGCGACUUGAGAACAUGUGCAAAUCCAAAGCCAAGAGUGCUGGGUCCAUCCUAUGGGUCUGGCCUCGUCGAACAAAAAAUCGGCGCAGCAGCGCCAAGGAAUUUAGUAAAGAGAAUGCUAGCUUGUGAAGCUCGCUUUGAGAGCUUGCGCGGGUUGCGUCUUUAGUAAGAAAAUGACUCUCGUCAAUGGAUAUCUCGGCUCUUGCAUCGAUGAAGAACGUAGCGAAAUGCGAUACUUGGUGUGAAUUGCAGAAUCCCGUGAACCAUCGAAUCUUUGAACGCAAGUUGCGCCUAAAGCCCAUAAGGUUGAGGGCACGUUUGCUUGGGUGUCACGCACGUGUCGCUCCCCUCGUGUUUUGGGGUUGGAGCGGAUCAUGGCCUCCCGGGCCCAACCUUGGGUGUGGUUGGCCGAAAAUCUUGUCCAUGAUGAUGUUCGAUGUCUUGGCGUGUGGUGGGUGUACGUAGUGUGCAAAAAGCCACGCCUUGCGCAACUGGAUUGUCGGCUUGACCCUUUGGAGCAGAUGGACUUUGCUCUUUGACUGCGACCCCAA
This 587-nucleotide ribosomal RNA is filed under the name Cuscuta serruloba. RNAcentral describes it as "eukaryotic LSU rRNA". The stretch from base 212 to 368 matches the Rfam family "5.8S ribosomal RNA". Lineage: Eukaryota; Viridiplantae; Streptophyta; Magnoliopsida; Solanales; Convolvulaceae. The record is from RNAcentral.